GAGUUUGNNCCNGGCUCAGAUUGAACGCUGGCGGCAGGNUNACNCUUGNAAGUCGAGCGGCAGCGACUUAACUGAACCUUCGGGGAACGUUAAGGGCGGCGAGCGGCGGACGGGUGAGUAAUGCCUGGGAAUAUGCCCUGAUGUGGGGGAUAACUAUUGGAAACGAUAGCUAAUACCGCAUAAUCUCUUCGGAGCAAAGAGGGGGACCUUCGGGCCUCUCGCGUCAGGAUUAGCCCAGGUGGGAUUAGCUUGUUGGUGAGGUAAUGGCUCACCAAGGCGACGAUCCCUAUCCGGCCUGAGAGGAUGAUCAGCCACACUGGAACUGAGACACGGUCCAUACUCCUACGGGAGGCAGCAGUGGGGAAUAUUGCACAAUGGGGGAAACCCUGAUGCAGCCNUGUCGCGUGUGUGAAGAAGGCCUUCGGGUUGUAAAGCACUUUCAGUAGGGAGGAAGGUAGUGUAGUUAACACCUGCACUAUUUGACGUUACCUACAGAAGAAGCACCGGCUAACUCCGUGCCAGUAGCCGC
Molecule: ribosomal RNA, 529 nt
Filed under: uncultured bacterium
Lineage: Bacteria
Description: bacterial SSU rRNA
Rfam family: Bacterial small subunit ribosomal RNA
Source: RNAcentral